AUGGUGAUAAUUUGUGUUGGUGAUUCUUGGCCUAUGUGGAGGGCAUUUGUGAGAGGAAUGGAUUAGUGGGUGUUGUAGAGGAUGACAUAGAGGGUGUUCAUUCUUAAAGAUUCUUGGGGAAGAAUGGUGAAGAAUGGGGGAAUGGUGGGUCCUUUCGUUUUUUAUUUAGUGUAAAUUUAAUAAAAUAAUUAUAAUAAGGUUGUUUGUGGGAAGGAUAUAUAUGUUAUUGUUGUGGGUAAAAAGUGUUUGUGGGAAGAAUAAAUGAAAAGCUGAUGUGGCAUGCUGAUUAGGCUGUUUGUAGAAAGGAUAGCCUUUCACUGAUGCGGAU
This 328-nucleotide long non-coding RNA is filed under the name Helianthus annuus (common sunflower). RNAcentral's name for it is "hypothetical non coding rna". The record is from RNAcentral. Lineage: Eukaryota; Viridiplantae; Streptophyta; Magnoliopsida; Asterales; Asteraceae.